RNAcentral lists this ribosomal RNA (404 nucleotides) under Verrucomicrobiota bacterium. RNAcentral describes it as "Verrucomicrobia bacterium partial 16S ribosomal RNA". It matches the Rfam family "Bacterial small subunit ribosomal RNA", at positions 355 to 776 of the family's 1533-position model. The record is from RNAcentral. Lineage: Bacteria; Pseudomonadati; Verrucomicrobiota.
UGGGGAAUAUUGCACAAUGGGGGAAACCCUGAUGCAGCGACGCCGCGUGAGCGAAGAAGGCCUUCGGGUCGUAAAGCUCUUUUAUGAGGGAAGAUAAUGACGGUACCUCAAGAAAAAGCCCCGGCUAACUACGUGCCAGCAGCCGCGGUAAUACGUAGGGUGCGAGCGUUGUCCGGAAUUACUGGGCGUAAAGAGCUCGUAGGCGGUUUGUCACGUCGUCUGUGAAAUCCUAGGGCUUAACCCUGGACGUGCAGGCGAUACGGGCUGACUUGAGUACUACAGGGGAGACUGGAAUUUCUGGUGUAGCGGUGGAAUGCACAGAUAUCAGGAAGAACACCGAUGGCGAAGGCAGGUCUCUGGGUAGUAACUGACGCUGAGGAGCGAAAGCAGGGGUAGCGAACAGG